GGUAAAAUGGCUGAUAAUAGGUGAUAAAUUGUAAAUUUAUUUAUGGGAUUAAAUAUCUCUUUUACCA
RNAcentral lists this transfer RNA (67 nucleotides) under Libelloides macaronius. RNAcentral's name for it is "transfer RNA-Tyr". The record is from RNAcentral. Lineage: Eukaryota; Metazoa; Arthropoda; Insecta; Neuroptera; Myrmeleontidae.